GAAGAACACCAACCCAAAUUCUGCUCAUAACCAAGUCGAAUUGCCACCCAAAGUUGGGUCACCAAAACUAUCAAAACCAGAAAUUGUCCAGAAUUUCUCAGUUUGGACCAAUCCGGCCAGCCUUAGAAAAAUAGGCAUAACUUGGACUACAAAAUCCCAAAUGGAGUGAUUUAAAAAGGGAAUUAAAACUAAGACAAUAAGGAACAACUUUGA
This 213-nucleotide unclassified non-coding RNA is filed under the name Hevea brasiliensis (rubber tree). The record is from RNAcentral. Lineage: Eukaryota; Viridiplantae; Streptophyta; Magnoliopsida; Malpighiales; Euphorbiaceae.